GAACGCUGGCGGCGUGCUUCAUACAUGCAAGUCGAACGAUAAGGUCUCUUCGGAGAUACAUAAGUGGCGGACGGGUGAGUAAUGUGUAGAGAAUCUGCCCUAGAGUGGGGGACAACAGUUGGAAACGGCUGCUAAUACCCCAUAUGAGCGUACCUGUGAUGGUAUUCUUGAAAGAUUUAUUGCUCUGGGAUGAGUCUGCAUCUGAUUAGCUAGUUGGGGGUGUAAUGGACCACCAAGGCGACGAUCAGUAGCUGGUUUGAGAGGAUGAUCAGCCACAAUGGGACUGAGACACGGCCCAUACUCCUACGGGAGGCAGCAGUAGGGAAUUUUGCGCAAUGGGGGAAACCCUGACGCAAGCAACGCCGCGUGAUUGAAUAAGCCCUUCGGGGUGUAAAGAUCUGUCAGUGGGGACGAAACUUGACGGUACCCACAGAGGAAGCAUCGGCUAACUCCGUGCCAGCAGCCGC
Molecule: ribosomal RNA, 467 nt
Filed under: uncultured bacterium
Lineage: Bacteria
Description: bacterial SSU rRNA
Rfam family: Bacterial small subunit ribosomal RNA
Source: RNAcentral